GACGUAGGGCGCGAGCGUUGUCCGGAUUUAUUGGGCGUAAAGAGCGUGUAGGCGGCCAUGCAGGUCCGUUGUGAAAACUCGAGGCUCAACCUCGAGACGUCGAUGGAAACCGCAUGGCUAGAGUCCGGAAGAGGAGAGUGGAAUUCCUGGUGUAGCGGUGAAAUGCGCAGAUAUCAGGAAGAACACCCGUGGCGAAGGCGGCUCUCUGGGACGGUACUGACGCUGAGACGCGAAAGCGUGGGGAGCGAACAGG
This 253-nucleotide ribosomal RNA is filed under the name uncultured bacterium. RNAcentral's name for it is "partial 16S ribosomal RNA". It matches the Rfam family "Bacterial small subunit ribosomal RNA", at positions 524 to 776 of the family's 1533-position model. The record is from RNAcentral.